GCUUAACACAUGCAAGUCGAGCGCCGUAGCAAUACGGAGCGGCAGACGGGAGAGUAACACGUGGGAACGUACCCUUUGGUUCGGAACAACCCAGGGAAACUUGGGCUAAUACCGGAUAAGCCCUUACGGGGAAAGAUUUAUCGCCGAAGGAUCGGCCCGCGUCUGAUUAGCUAGCUGGUGGGGUAACGGCCCACCAAGGCGACGAUCAGUAGCUGGUCUGAGAGGAUGAUCAGCCUCACUGGGACUGAGACACGGCCCAGACUCCUACGGGAGGCAGCAGUGGGGAAUAUUGGACAAUGGGCGCAAGCCUGAUCCAGCCAUGCCGCGUGAGUGAUGAAGGCCCUAGGGUUGUAAAGCUCUUUUGUGCGGGAAGAUAAUGACGGUACCGCAAGAAUAAGCCCCGGCUAACUUCGUGCCAGCCGCCGCGGUAAUAC
Molecule: ribosomal RNA, 434 nt
Filed under: uncultured bacterium
Lineage: Bacteria
Description: bacterial SSU rRNA
Rfam family: Bacterial small subunit ribosomal RNA
Source: RNAcentral